AGCAGCCGCGGUAAUUCCAGCUCCAAUAGCGUAUAUUAAAGUUGUUGCAGUUAAAAAGCUCGUAGUUGAAUUUCGGGAUCAAUGCGUCGGUCGUGCCUUCGGUACGUACUAGCGUCAUUGAUUCCUCCCUUCUGAAGAACCGUGAUGUCAUUAAUUUGGUGUUACGGGGAAUCAGGACUGUUACCUUGAAAAAUUAGAGUGUUUAAAGCAGGCUAACGCUUGAAUACAUUAGCAUGGAAUAAUGAAAUAGGACGUUCGAACCUAUUUUGUUGGUUUCUAGGAUCGACGUAAUGAUUAAUAGGGAUAGUUGGGGGCAUUAGUAUUCAAUUGUCAGAGGUGAAAUUCUUGGAUUUAUUGAAGACUAACUACUGCGAAAGCAUUUGCCAAGGAUGUUUUCAUUAAUCAAGAACGAAAGUUAGGGGAUCGAAGACGAUCAGAUACCGUCGUAGUCUUAACCAUAAACUAUGCCGACUAGGGAUCGGAUGAUGUUAAUUUUUAAUGACUCAUUCGGCGCCUUACG
Molecule: ribosomal RNA, 520 nt
Filed under: uncultured Glomus
Lineage: Eukaryota; Fungi; Glomeromycota; Glomeromycetes; Glomerales; Glomeraceae
Description: SSU rRNA
Rfam family: Eukaryotic small subunit ribosomal RNA
Source: RNAcentral